CAGUCGUACCUGCGGAUAAUCAGCUUCUUGAGUGUGAUUAUGUGGUUUAUGAGGAGUUUAACCGCCUUCAUGUAUUGCAUAUUUGUGCUCUUGGGUGUACUUGUCUGUGUGGUAGGUUAACAUCAAUUUCGGUCGUCAUAAAAUGAUCGGAGGAAUGUGGCUUUGGUCUCGUAUCGAAGUGUUAUAGACUCUGGUAGAUGUGACGAUUGGGAUUGGAGGAUUGCAACGGAUACCCGUUCGGGCUACUCGUCUGAUCUCUGAAGGUUGCUCCGGUACCGAA
RNAcentral lists this ribosomal RNA (280 nucleotides) under Rhizophagus fasciculatus. The record is from RNAcentral. Lineage: Eukaryota; Fungi; Glomeromycota; Glomeromycetes; Glomerales; Glomeraceae.